RNAcentral lists this antisense RNA (75 nucleotides) under Streptomyces sp. CNZ288. RNAcentral describes it as "ASpks TB sRNA". It matches the Rfam family "ASpks TB sRNA". The record is from RNAcentral. Lineage: Bacteria; Bacillati; Actinomycetota; Actinomycetes; Kitasatosporales; Streptomycetaceae.
CUUGACCGAGCCGAGCCACAGCGGGCGGCCGUGCGGCCGGUCCUGGCCGUACGUGGCCAGCAGCGCCUGCGCCUC